CAGCACUAUAGAUUUAUUUAUAUGUAUAGACAUACACACAUGUAUGUAUAAACAAGUAUAGAUUGAACAAGGGGCAGACGUGUGGUCAUUCAACUUGAGCAUAAUUAUACUUCAAGAUGACGAGUUGACCAAGUUUACAAGCCAGUUGGCUUGUAUGACAAAGUUAUGCACCAUAUUCAACAGUUUGUGACACGCGCAACUAUAUUUUAAAAGCAUGCUAAUUUACAUUAUAAAUUAUAAUGUUGAUAUGCGAGUGUAAUAUG
Drosophila busckii is the source of this 263-nucleotide long non-coding RNA. RefSeq lists it as uncharacterized. The transcript is spliced from 3 exons. Lineage: Eukaryota; Metazoa; Arthropoda; Insecta; Diptera; Drosophilidae. The record is from RefSeq and is a predicted model, not a curated record.